RNAcentral lists this ribosomal RNA (497 nucleotides) under uncultured bacterium. RNAcentral describes it as "partial 16S ribosomal RNA". It matches the Rfam family "Bacterial small subunit ribosomal RNA", at positions 28 to 507 of the family's 1533-position model. The record is from RNAcentral.
GAUGAACGCUGGCGGCGUGCCUAAUACAUGCAAGUCGAGCGAACAGACGAGGAGCUUGCUCCUCUGACGUUAGCGGCGGACGGGUGAGUAACACGUGGAUAACCUACCUAUAAGACUGGGAUAACUUCGGGAAACCGGAGCUAAUACCGGAUAAUAUAUUGAACCGCAUGGUUCAAUAGUGAAAGACGGUUUUGCUGUCACUUAUAGAUGGAUCCGCGCCGCAUUAGCUAGUUGGUAAGGUAACGGCUUACCAAGGCAACGAUGCGUAGCCGACCUGAGAGGGUGAUCGGCCACACUGGAACUGAGACACGGUCCAGAAUCCUACGGGAGGCAGCAGUAGGGAAUCUUCCGCAAUGGGCGAAAGCCUGACGGAGCAACGCCGCGUGAGUGAUGAAGGUCUUCGGAUCGUAAAACUCUGUUAUUAGGGAAGAACAAAUGUGUAAGUAACUAUGCACGUCUUGACGGUACCUAAUCAGAAAGCCACGGCUAACCACGUG